GGCUUGAUUGCGCAGUUGGUAGAGCACUGCACCGGUAUCGCAGAGGUCAUGGGUUCGAACCUCGUUCAAGCCU
This is a non-coding RNA of Desmophyllum pertusum, 73 nucleotides long. Lineage: Eukaryota; Metazoa; Cnidaria; Anthozoa; Scleractinia; Caryophylliidae. The record is from the annotation of a GenBank genome assembly.